This 209-nucleotide long non-coding RNA is filed under the name Carica papaya (papaya). RNAcentral's name for it is "long non-coding RNA (CPAP_LNC000694)". The record is from RNAcentral. Lineage: Eukaryota; Viridiplantae; Streptophyta; Magnoliopsida; Brassicales; Caricaceae.
CAUAACUCUUCUGCCUGCUCUGAGCCGUCUGAAUGUUCCUCCUGAUCUUAACUAUUUUGGAUGUAGUUUCCUCUACCAGCUCCGGGUCGAACAAUUUUCUAUCGCCCACUUCUUUCCAAUAAAUCGGUGAUCUGCAUGGGCGCCCAUAUAACGCCUCAUACGGAGCCAUGCUAAUGCUCACUUGGUAGCUGUUGUUGUAGAACUCUAUC